This 450-nucleotide ribosomal RNA is filed under the name uncultured bacterium. RNAcentral describes it as "bacterial SSU rRNA". It matches the Rfam family "Bacterial small subunit ribosomal RNA", at positions 354 to 796 of the family's 1533-position model. The record is from RNAcentral.
GUGGGGAAUAUUGCACAAUGGGGGAAACCCUGAUGCAGCCAUGCCGCGUGUGUGAAGAAGGCCUUCGGGUUGUAAAGCACUUUCAGCGAGGAGGAAAGGUCAGUAGCUAAUAUCUGCUGGCUGUGACGUUACUCGCAGAAGAAGCACCGGCUAACUCCGUGCCAGCAGCCGCGGUAAUACGGAGGGUGCAAGCGUUAAUCGGAAUUACUGGGCGUAAAGCGCACGCAGGCGGUUGGAUAAGUUAGAUGUGAAAGCCCCGGGCUCAACCUGGGAAUUGCAUUUAAAACUGUCCAGCUAGAGUCUUGUAGAGGGGGGUAGAAUUCCAGGUGUAGCGGUGAAAUGCGUAGAGAUCUGGAGGAAUACCGGUGGCGAAGGCGGCCCCCUGGACAAAGACUGACGCUCAGGUGCGAAAGCGUGGGGAGCAAACAGGAUUAGAAACCCUAGUAGUCC